GGGAAUGUAGCUUAGUGGUAGAGUGCUUGCCUUGUAUGCAUGAAGCCCUGGGUUUGAUUCCCCAAUACUA
This 70-nucleotide transfer RNA is filed under the name Dipodomys ordii (Ord's kangaroo rat). It matches the Rfam family "tRNA". Rfam says of the family: Transfer RNA (tRNA) molecules are approximately 80 nucleotides in length. Their secondary structure includes four short double-helical elements and three loops (D, anti-codon, and T loops). The record is from Rfam by way of RNAcentral. Lineage: Eukaryota; Metazoa; Chordata; Mammalia; Rodentia; Heteromyidae.